Molecule: unclassified non-coding RNA, 417 nt
Filed under: uncultured fungus
Lineage: Eukaryota; Fungi
Description: partial contains small subunit ribosomal RNA, internal transcribed spacer 1, and 5.8S ribosomal RNA
Rfam family: Eukaryotic small subunit ribosomal RNA (bases 1-73)
Source: RNAcentral
GCAAACUUGGUCAUUUAGAGGAAGUAAAAGUCGUAACAAGGUUUCCGUAGGUGAACCUGCGGAAGGAUCAUCACUGAUUCUCGGGGGAAGGGGGCGUGUGCGCGGUCUCUGUGCGCGUGCCUCCGCCCCCAAUCAAUCUUGUGUGCACCGUUUUAUGCGUGGUCAAAAGUGUACACACGAAACACGACGCGCAGUGGUUGCAUUGUGUUGUUGGCAGAUAGAUGUGGGGGCGGCGCAUUUUCUUCUCCCCUUCUCAUCUGCCAAGCACAUGCGCCCUGUCGCGCGUGUUCUCUACCUGUGUGCAAUCAUCUCAAUCUCUUGUACAAUAUCCGUGUCUAACAAAACAUUGAUAUAUAUUAUAAAAACACAACUUUCAACAAUGGAUCUCUUGGCUCUCGCAUCGAUGAAGAACGCAGC